RNAcentral lists this ribosomal RNA (429 nucleotides) under Bacteroidota bacterium. Its description in RNAcentral is "Bacteroidetes bacterium partial 16S ribosomal RNA". It matches the Rfam family "Bacterial small subunit ribosomal RNA", at positions 355 to 776 of the family's 1533-position model. The record is from RNAcentral. Lineage: Bacteria; Pseudomonadati; Bacteroidota.
UAGGGAAUCUUCCGCAAUGGACGCAAGUCUGACGGAGCAACGCCGCGUGAGUGAAGAAGGAUUUCGGUUCGUAAAACUCUGUUGUUAGAGAAGAACAGCGCAUAGAGUAACUGUUAUGCGUGUGACGGUAUCUAACCAGAAAGCCACGGCUAACUACGUGCCAGCAGCCGCGGUAAUACGUAGGUGGCAAGCGUUGUCCGGAUUUAUUGGGCGUAAAGCGAGCGCAGGCGGUCAAUUAAGUCUGAUGUGAAAGCCCCCGGCUCAACCGGGGAGGGUCAUUGGAAACUGGUUGACUUGAGUGCAGAAGAGGAGAGUGGAAUUCCAUGUGUAGCGGUGAAAUGCGUAGAUAUAUGGAGGAACACCAGUGGCGAAGGCGGCUCUCUGGUCUGUAACUGACGCGGAGGCUCGAAAGCGUGGGGAGCGAACAGG